Molecule: long non-coding RNA, 484 nt
Filed under: Volvox carteri
Lineage: Eukaryota; Viridiplantae; Chlorophyta; Chlorophyceae; Chlamydomonadales; Volvocaceae
Description: long non-coding RNA (VCAR_LNC003986)
Source: RNAcentral
GCGCACCCCCAUCCCUUGAUUGGAUGGCCGAUUCUCGUUCCAACAACUCCUGAUGCGAAACGGCGGAGACCCGCCUCUUCCUUCAGGACAUGCAAUGUGCCAUGAUAUCUGGUAUCUGUUUCGUGUGUUCGUAAGUGCAUCAGGUCUUAGGAAGGAAACCGGGGAAUGUCUUUCUGCUGAUGCAUCACCUUGCCGAUCCUGCUGACGCAUCACUCAUUAUUAUGCCGGAGAAACGCGCUAUUCCGGUACAAUUUCUUCGGAUAAUGACUACUAAAACGCAAUUACCAUUUAAUUUGGUAUGAUGAGGCGUAGGAUUUAUCAAGAUUUGCUGUGACAAGAUGACGGCGGUUGUCAGACUGAAGGUUUUCUGAGAGUAACGAUAUAGAAAAUCGAGGUGUCCUGUGAACUCAGAAGAGUUGGUUGUUCGCGUCGGCACGCAAUGUAAUGCCGGUAAAGAAGGUCGCUCUAGUAUUUUUCGGGUUUC